Molecule: ribosomal RNA, 1034 nt
Filed under: uncultured bacterium
Lineage: Bacteria
Description: bacterial SSU rRNA
Rfam family: Bacterial small subunit ribosomal RNA
Source: RNAcentral
ACUCCUACGGGAGGCAGCAGUGAGGGAUAUUGCACAAUGGGGGAAACCCUGAUGCAGCGACGCCGCGUGGGUGAUGAAGGCUUUCGGGUCGUAAAACCCUUUUUGGCAUGACGAGAACGGACGGUAGUGCCAGAAUAAGUCUCGGCUAACUACGUGCCAGCAGCCGCGGUAAAACGUAGGAGGCAAGCGUUAUCCGGAGUUACUGGGCGUAAAGGGUGCGUAGGCGGCUCAUCAAGUGGGACGUGAAAGCUCACGGCUAAACUGUGAGAGGACGACUCAGACUGAAGGGCUAGAGGGUGUCAGAGGCGUGCGGAAUUCGGGGUGUAGCGGUGAAAUGUGUAGAGAUCCCGAGGAACACCAGUGGUGCAAACGGCGCGCUGGGACACAACUGACGCUGAAGCACGAAAGCGUGGGGAGCGAACGGGAUUAGAGACCCCGGUAGUCCACGCCGUAAACGAUGUCAACUAGGUGUCUGCAAGGGGAAACCUGAGUGGGUGUCAAAGCUAACGCGAUAAGUUGACCGCCUGGGGAGUACGGUCGCAAGGCUAAAACUCAAAGGAAUUGACGGGGGCCCGCACAAGCAGCGGAGCGUGUGGUUUAAUUCGAGGCUACGCGAAGAACCUUACCUGGGUUUGACAUCACGGUGGUAGGGCGACGAAAGUCAACCGACCUUCGGGAGCCGUGACAGGUGCUGCAUGGCUGUCGUCAGCUCGUGUCGUGAGAUGUUCGGUUAAGUCCGAAAAUGAGCGCAACCCUCGGCGUUAGUUACACGUGUCUAACGCGACCGCCCUCGAGAAGGGGGAGGAAGGUGGGGAUGACGUCAAGUCAGCAUGGCCUUUAUAUCCAGGGCUACACACACGCUACAAUGGGGGACACAAUGGGCAGCGAAGGGGCGACCUGGAGCCAAUCCACCAAAGUCUUUCGUAGUUCGGAUUGCAGGCUGCAACUCGCCUGCAUGAAGCUGGAGUUGCUAGUAACCGUGCAUCAGCUACGGCACGGUGAAUACGUUCCCGGGCCUUGUACACACCGCCCGU